CUGUUUACCCAAGGGAACAAUUAAAAUUCAGGAAAACAUGCCUAUUCAAAUAAUUUCCUUUCAUUUUAAGACGAUUCAGUGUAAACAUUUCCCCAAUACUUUGAGAAGUACAUUGAUCCAAUGAUGAUCUGUGUAUAGCGUUAUCUCAUGUCAAAUAGGGAAGUGGAAAACGAAGGGAAUUCCGAUAGUCAUUAAGAAAUUCCCUACAGCCCCUUCAGAGAUGGGUGGAUCUGGAAAAGUGGUAUAAUUGAGGGAGUGGAGGUCAGAUUCUUCUGAAGAAUGAGUACUUAACAGAACUGAAACAGUUAGCUGGAAAAUAAUGCUUGAGUUUCAGUGAUAGUAAGAGCCUGAGAUGGUGCUGAUUUGUCCAAGAAAGUGGAUAUUGCCGACUUGCAUUUCCAUGUGAAAAUGUUGGCAUUUCCAUGCUGGCAAUAGGAAGGGCUAGAAAACAAAUGUAUAAUAAAGUGCCUUAGAAUAUGGUACAUCUCUGGGAUAAGGAUGGAAAAUAAAUAUAUAUACUCCUGAAGAAAAUCUAGGAACAAAACAUGUGCUCUAAACUGUUGAAUUAACCUUAGCGGUUGGGAACCUUGAAAUAAGGAAGUCUACCAGAUUUCCUGAGGGAUUAAAAAUAUUUCAUGGCAACCCAGGAGUCACUGUGUGGGAUGUAGAAUUGCGUUGUUUGGAAAUAAAAAUAGCUUUUUUUUUUUUUUUUUUUCAAGUGAGAAUGAUGGAUGUGGAAAAAUGUGGCAGCCGAGAUAUGAAGUCAGAGAAACAAAACGAUACACAAUUUGAGGAGACGUAACCCAGCAUUGAAACUUCUGAUCUUAAAGCAGGGAUUCUCAGCCUUUGGUUUGAGUUCGUCAGGGCUAAGCAUGAUCAGAGGCAUGCAAAGGGCCAGUGGGCUGCAGAUGGUGUAGGACUUAAAAGGCCAAAGCUCUGAAAAUGGAAGUUGGAAAAGAAAGAAGAACAAAGGAAGGAGUAAAAAGGGUAGCCUGAAAGGAAACCUUGGUACUUCAAAAUGACUGGGACAUUCAUCAAUACAUACAAAAAGGAGAAGACACUUCUGAAUGAUGAGCCUUCAUUCAAAUUGUCCAUCACUCAUCCUUGGAAAACAAGUUGAGAUUCCCUGAUUUAAUGGUCAGUUCUUACAGAAGUGCCCUUUGCCUUCACUCAGUGUCUUGAUUUGUCUUCUGUGUGAUUGAGAGUCCCAAUGUUACAACAGUAUUUAAGUAUGAGUUAUUUUUAUUUAUUUGAGUUGUGGAGUCUUAUCUUGUGAUUGUGGUUGUAAAUGUUUUUUUUGAACAUGUACUGUUAAGUAGAAGUUAAAAUUUUGUCACCAGCCCAAACUUAUUGCUUAAAGACUUGCGUAUGUCCAUUAAAAUACAUGUGUAAGGUACUUGGUAUCCUCUGUAGCUAUCAGUACAUAGGAAGCAUAGAGAACAAACCAUUGGUUUGUAUAGGAUAUAACGUUAUUUAACCCAUUAAUAUCUUUAUUGACUUGAAUAAUCUUAUACAUUAUAAAAAUAUCAGUUAUAUUUUAAAUAUUAGCUUUGCAACUAUGUGUACACAUAACCUCAUUUCAUCCCUAUAACAACUGUGUUGUGAUAAGCACUGUUAAUCCCCAUUUCACAACUAGGGGAGCAGAGAGAUAAAAUAAUUUGCUAAAGACAAUACUUAGCAGACUUCAUAUUACCUCAUAUUUUACCCACUAUCCUUUUCGGAUAUAAUUUAUAGCUGUGUUUUGCAUUCAUUCAGCUAACAUUUAGGAAGAACCCUAGCAAUCACUGUGCCAGACUGAAAGU
Molecule: long non-coding RNA, 1802 nt
Filed under: Sus scrofa (pig)
Lineage: Eukaryota; Metazoa; Chordata; Mammalia; Artiodactyla; Suidae
Description: lncRNA (ENSSSCG00015080568.1)
Source: RNAcentral